RNAcentral lists this long non-coding RNA (6233 nucleotides) under Homo sapiens (human). RNAcentral's name for it is "HSALNT0206384". The record is from RNAcentral. Lineage: Eukaryota; Metazoa; Chordata; Mammalia; Primates; Hominidae.
GUGAGCCACCGUGCCUGGCCCACAUGUAUUUUUAAGUAUACAUUUUUGUGUGUGUGUGAAGGGGAGUGAUCUGAUGCGCAGUUGCUGGAAGCUUAUCAUAAUGUGGUCACAAUUUUCACUAUGAAGUAGUUCUCUAAAGGAAGGUCUUUGUGUAAAGACAGACUAUUAGAAAGUUUUUCAUGACUGGUGGUACUGAUUUGCAUACUUUUGUGUAUUCAUGAGUACAAUAAUAUUUAUUGACAGCCUACUGAGUUUCUGGCACUCUCCUGAGUACUGGGAAUACAUCUGUCAAUUGAACUUAAAACACAUUAGCUGUGAUAUAACAAAACAAAAUGAAUGAAUGUAUAUAAUCUCACUAUAGUCAACCGUAUUACUACCUUUCAUGUUGAGGACACACCAAAAUAUUGCAAAAUCCCUUUCUAUUAUUAAGAAUGCUUUAUUUUGAAUAGAAUAAACUUAAUAAAUUUAAAAAAUUAAAAGAGUAGAAAAUAAUCCAAAGGAAUCUAUAAACACAUAUAAGCUAGCAUGGUUAUACAAUGUAUCUAUAUGUACACAUGUCAGGAAUUCAGAGUAAAUGCAAGAAGAUGCCAAAUUGUGAGUCAUUCUUUAAACAAACAUACUGAGAGUUGGUUUUCUACACUACAUGCAUUUGGCAUGCCUACUUGUUGGACAUAGUCAUGACAAUUUCUUGUUUCUUUCACUCAACACAUGUAAUUGAGUGCCUAUGGCGGGCACUGGGCAAGGUGCUGGGAAGAAAAGUUGGGUUACACACAUUCUUGCCCUCCUGGACUUCAUGCAGGAGUUGUUUGAUUUCAUUAUAGAACCAUUUUCUGGGUCCUAAUGUCUACUUUUCAGAAGCAGACAUUUCCCAUUGCUUGUAGGAUGACCACCUCAUACACAUGGUCACCGUCAUCAUCCACCAAGCUCAGGACAACCAUCUCAUCAGGCUCCAUCUUAAAAGAAACUGUGAGAGCCCUUGUCUUGUGAAUUAGCUGCCUCUUCAGCAAUAUCUCUGGUCCUGAUCCUGAGCACUGGCCUCACUGCGAGGUGUUGUGGGUGUUCUGUUCCUCCUACUUCUGAGGCUCCCUUGCCUGGAUUCUCAGAAAACCAGGUCUUAGGCAAGAUGUGACCCUGAGCUGUGCAGCCUUAUAGUCGCAGCCCUUACCUUGCCAGGUUUUAAUGUCCUUCUGUGUACAACAAAGCAUUUAAGGAAUUUUAGGGAUCCCUAGGUUCCUUAAAAGGUACUUCCUGUCUUUCAAGCAAGUGAAAGGAAGAUGCAACCCUGUGAAGCCAAGACGGUUUCCAGAGCCUGGGAGCCAGGUGUGUGUUCCCACGGCUGCCUUGUGUCACAUGCCCAUGAUGAGGACAGUGUGAUAUUUUCACCAAAGCCUUUUCCCACCUCACUGCUAGGCAUUGAAAUGUUCUGAGUUCAUCACAGCAAGAGCAAGAAGGGGUCUUAGCAAUUAAUCAUUCAUUUGAUAGACGAGGAACUUGGAGUCUAAAGGGAUUCAGGCAGAAGAACUUAGCUUUUGACAACCAAUCAGCCUUACUAAAUUUAAACAAAUAGGAUUUUUAAAGUGUAAAAUAAUUUAUGGAAAUACCUUUAAGAGUAUUACUCUCUGCCUUGUUUCUUAGAUCAAAAAGUAACAAACUUACUUAUUUUUGAUAUCUCAGGGAUAUUCUGCUAUGAACGGAAUGUAGUUGUGAAUGGUACUGUCUCUGGAGAUAGAGCUGGGCUCACGUUGUGGCUGUAUCACUUAUUAGUUUCAUGAUGUAGGCCACAGUGUUUAGUCUUUCUGAGCCACAGCAUCCUUACCUGCAAAAUGGAGAGAAUAAUGAUUGGUAUCAAUCUCACUGGGAAGUUGUGAGAAUUAAGUGAUACAAUGUGCAUGUGAAAACAGUAGGAUGCCUGACAUGUAAGUGGGAUUGCUAUUGGAUGCUUUUAUUAUAAUUACUACUAUUAUAAUUUGGAUGUCACUUGGAACUUCUCUGCCUCUUGGGGAUUUAGUUUGAAUAUUUAAUUCCACAGCUGGGGGAAGCUGAAGUUUUUCUCUUAAUUCCUGUUUUAUCCCAACCCUACACUCCCUCCUUAAGGUGCCUCUGUUUCUACUCUUCUGUUGAUGGAUACCAUCUUGUUUGGCUUGCAUUUACCUUCUGCACAUUUGCAGUGAGCCAAGCCUUUUAUAAAAUUGUCCCUUUACUGAAGAUGUGGAAGUUCACAGAAGAGGGAUUGUGCCACACUGUGUGGGUCAUGACUUUCUUCCUUCCCACUCAUGUUCUGCUUCUCCCAGGGCCCACAUGCCAACAUGUGCCUUAGCUAAUCCAUGUAGUUCCUGAAUGGGUAAUUGAUUCCCUCUGUCUGAGAGUUUUCCUCUGGAAGAGUAGACCCAACCAGGAGGACUUUCUUUCUUGGUCCCCCUGGAAUGCUGGUGAGUAAAUAUUCUCUGUUGUUACCUUCAGUUCUGUCAUUAGACUACACUGCACUUCAGUAGACCACAUUAAACUACUCAGAUCAUAGUGGCUUCCAUAUUUGCCCCUACUCCGAAGGAACGCCCUGCUUCUAUUUCAGGAAUUUUCUUUGUCCUCUGUUACUAUCAGCCAGCUACUUGUUGAUGUGAGUGUGCCACCCCUUGGGGUGACCCCCGCUAUCUAACAUGAUGCUUUCAGCCUUUGGGGCAGCAAAGGCCGAGGGCAUUAGAAGUGUGCGUAAAGCUCUCUGAGUGGGAGCUUCUGCUCCCUCCUUCGGGGCAAAAUAAAUAAACCUUAGUACCUGGGCUUUAUGGCAAUUCUUUUGUUGGCUGAGCCACAGUUUUUCUUUAAUUCCUGUUUUUCUAUAUCACUCCAGCUAGCAGAGGUUGACAGAUCAAUGUAGUGUUAAAGAUAUGUAGCAACAUUUGUCUGGCACUAUUGGAAAAUGAGGUGUUUUCUAUAAAUAAAUUCCAGGUAAUGGGAGCUCAUCAUUUUAGAUACCGAAACCUUUAAACAUUUUAAUAAUGUUGGGUGGAGUGCUAAGACAUUAUGUGGCUUAAAAUCUAGAAAAUAAUUGAUGCAUACAAAUAGGAAGGCAGAAUAACAGUGGAUAAGUAUACAGACUGGAGUCAAGCUUGAUUCACAGGGUUCUGCCAUUUUUCCAUCCCAAAUGCAGUGCACAGCAUUGAGCCCAGUAAUACAUCUUGUUUCAUAUGCUUGAUUUGAAGAUGUCAUGCCCCUCCAUGCAAAGUCUUAGCAUAGUGCCAGGCACUUUUUACAUGCUUACUAUCCAGCUCUUCCUGGCCUUAUUGUUACUGUUAACUUUUUUUGUUGUUGUUUUUUUCUUUUUGAGAUGAAGUCUCGCUCUCUCACCCAGGCUGGAAUGCAGUGGCAUGAUCUCGGCUCACUGGAACCUCCGCCUCCCAGGUUCAAGCGAUUCUCCUGCCUCAGCCUCCUGAGUAGCUGAGAUUACAACUGAUGCUUUUCCAAGCCUUCUACAUCCCACAGCUGGUUAUUAGAAUGUGAUAAUCUUGGAGUCAAUAUAUGGAGGGGAUGCUGAAAAAAAUUCACAGGAGACCAACUCAGUCUACCAGCUAAAUCGGUUUGGAGGCACUGAAAUCUAAUAAAAAACACAUCUGAGUAUCCAAUCCUGGACCCACUGCCAGGAAGAGAAGAGACCUUGAACAGUGAUGGAGGCAGUGAAGGAACUUCGGUAUAAGAGAUUGCAUCCCAUUUCUUCACUGGUCCCACCAAGGUGACCAGCUGUGUGACAAAUCCUCUAGAAUCUGGAGCUGACCCCUGAGGGUGACCACAAUGGAGAGACUGAGGAUUAUCAUCCAGCACCACAUACCAACAGAAUAACGUGUGUCACUGACAUGUGAGUAGAACUGAAACGAAGCAGCCAGUUCGUUGGUCACUGAGAGGUGAGUCAUAAUACCAGGCAGAGUUGUGAAGACAAAGAAAUAGAAGACAAGUCCAUGAUCUCCUAGAGCUUCUCUCUUGGUUUAAGAGACAAGAAAAAGUUACUUGAACACAUAUGAUGAAUGCAAAUCAUGUAAAUGAAUCCUAAAACAUGGUGGGAGCAGUCCCACCAGGAAGUGCAGGAGUGGAGAGGCCCUGACAUCACAGGGGAGCCAUGGUGGGGGCUUCAUGAAGGAGCAAUCUGAGAGGCCUGAAGGCCAGCAAGCAGCCUGAGAAGGGCAUCGCAGCUGUUGGAAGAGAAAGGGCUGGCUGGACAGAGCUCAGCUCGUGCUUGAGGAGGGAGCAAGGAGUCAAGUGUGCUGAUGUCCUGAUUUGGAAAAUACUGAGAUGGUGAGAAACAAAGCUGGCCAGCUGGUGGGGCCACAGCAUGGAGGUCCUCAAAUACUCGGAUGCAGAGUUUGAACCGAUAUUCUUAUCUGUGCUGAAUUACGACUGGUCAAAGUGUACACUACAAAAUUCUUAAUGCUUCAGCAAUCUUUACUAACCACUUUUUUUCUUCUACUUGUAAAGCCAAAGAGGGACAAGAAAGGGCUAGAGGAAUGUCUCUAGAAUCAAAGUCAAGACCUCCAGAUUCUAGUACUACCUGUGUUGCUACUUAAUUAUAUGAACUUGUGCAAAUCUUGUUAUUCAUCUGUAGUUUAACUUUGCAUUUGCAACACGAGAUGGUAAAACCGAUACAUAACUCAGUAUUUCUUUAAAAAAAAAUGGAAACAAUAAAUGCACAAAACCCAAAAGUUAGCAUUUAGGGAUAUCAAGACUACUGUUGUCAUCACUGUGAUUCUGCAAGUUCUCCAGAAAAAUUCACGUUAGGACAUAUAGAUGCAGGGCUACCUUCAGCCAUCCAUCCAUUCAACUCUGCCCCAGGCGCCCAAACUGCACGCUUUGUGGAGCUUAUAUUCUAACGGGGAAGUAUAAUUGGUUGCUAGGGCUGCCAUAGCACUGCAGACUGGGUGGUUUAAAUAACAGAAUUUUAUUUUUUACAAUUCUGGAGGCCAGAAGUUUGAGAUCAAGGUGUCAGCAGGGUUGCUUCAUCUGAGGCCUCUCUCUUGGACUUGUAGAUGGCUGUCUUCCCCUUGUGUCUUCACAUGGUCCUCCCUCUAUGAGUGUAUGUCCAUGUGCUUAUGUGUGUGCUAAUCUCUUCAUAGAAGGACACCAGUCGUAUUGGAAGAGGGGCUACACAUAUGACCUCAUUUUACCCCAAUUCCCUCUCCAAAGGACCUAUCUCCAAACACAGUCACAGUCUGAGGUACUGGGUGUGAGAUCAUAUGAAUUUUUCAGGGACACAAAUUUGGCCCAUAACAGAGAGAUAAAUAAUAAACAAGUAAACAAAUAAGGAAUAAAUGGAAUAACAUGAAGCAGACUUGUGUGAGUGGAAUUGCUAUAGAGCGAAGAAUGCAAACACCACCUGGCUUUGAAAGACAGAGUGGACUGUCCCUGCAGGAGAGCAGCAAUGGAGGUGUCGCAAGAUGAGACAAGCUCUGUGUGUUUGAGACUGAGCAUGCACCAGUUGGAAGGCUUGGUUUGGGUCCCUGCAGCUUAGGGGCACAGUGCAAAAGUGUCUGAACCACUUCUAUCAAAAGGGCCCCUGGCUAGAGCUGCUGAGGGUGUCCAUGCCUCCAGGAGAGUCUGCCUCUGGGAAGUGGCCGGCUUAGAUGGUGUCCUCAGACAGACUGGGGGUGCCUCCCAUCCAUUCCCAAGAGGAGCUCAGCACGGCAGGGCUGAAAGAAGGAAGGGCAUGGCUGCAGGGGAGAAUCCACAAGGAUUUUGAGCAAGAGAACGACAAUGAAAGUCAAAGCUUUCCCGUAAGAAAAUUAAUCUAAUUUUAAUAUCAGAGAUGGAGAGGAGGUGGAUAGGAUCAGCCUCAGAGCCAUCCAAUCAUUAGUUGUUUUUAUAACAAGCAAUUACUGAGCACUGAUUUGUUCUGAGGGCUAAAUAGGAACAGCAAUGUUGGGAAUUGUAUUAGUUUCUCAGGAUGUCAUGAAAAAGUAGUAGACACUGGGUGGCUUAAAAUAACAAAAGUGGAUUCUCUCCUAGUCCUGAUGGCCAGAAGGCUGAUAUCAAGGUGUCGGCAGGACCACACUCCCCCUAGAACCUCUAGGGAAAGAUCGUUCCUUGCAUCUGCCAGCUCUGUGGCUCCAAGCACUCCUUGGUUUGCAGCAGCAUAACUUCCAUGUCUACCUCUGUUUUCAUGAUUGUCUUUCCCCUGGGUCUCUUCUGCUCUUCGUAUAAGAGCUAUCAAGUGGGCUUCAUCCCUGGGAUGCAAGGCUGGUCCAACAUACGCA